GACGAACGCUGGCGGCGUGCUUAACACAUGCAAGUCGUACGGUAAGGCCCUUUCGGGGGUCCACGAGUGGCGAACGGGUGAGUAACACGUGAGUAACCUGCCCACAACUUUGGGAUAACGCUAGGAAACUGGUGCUAAUACUGGAUAUGUGCUCCUGCUGCAUGGUGGGGGUUGGAAAGCUCCGGCGGUUGUGGAUGGACUCGCGGCCUAUCAGCUUGUUGGUGGGGUAGUGGCCUACCAAGGCGGCGACGGGUAGCCGGCCUGAGAGGGUGACCGGCCACAUUGGGACUGAGAUACGGCCCAGACGCCUACGGGAGGCAGCAGUGGGGAAUAUUGCACAAUGGGCGCAAGCCUGAUGCAGCAACGCCGCGGGCGGGAGGACGGCCUUCGGGUUGUAAACCGCUUUCAGCAGGGACGAAGCUUUUUGUGACGGUACCUGCAGAAGAAGCACCGGCUAACUACGUG
RNAcentral lists this ribosomal RNA (465 nucleotides) under uncultured bacterium. RNAcentral's name for it is "partial 16S ribosomal RNA". It matches the Rfam family "Bacterial small subunit ribosomal RNA", at positions 28 to 507 of the family's 1533-position model. The record is from RNAcentral.